RNAcentral lists this transfer RNA (77 nucleotides) under bacterium. Its description in RNAcentral is "tRNA-Met". It matches the Rfam family "tRNA". From Rfam's summary of the family: Transfer RNA (tRNA) molecules are approximately 80 nucleotides in length. Their secondary structure includes four short double-helical elements and three loops (D, anti-codon, and T loops). The record is from RNAcentral.
GCCGGCGUAGCUCAGUUGGUUAGAGCGAAGGACUCAUAAGCCUUAGGUCGCUGGUUCAAUUCCAGCCGCCGGUACCA